RNAcentral lists this ribosomal RNA (253 nucleotides) under uncultured bacterium. RNAcentral's name for it is "partial 16S ribosomal RNA". It matches the Rfam family "Bacterial small subunit ribosomal RNA", at positions 524 to 776 of the family's 1533-position model. The record is from RNAcentral.
GACAGAGGGGGCAAGCGUUGCUCGGAAUUACUGGGCGUAAAGGGCGCGUAGGCGGGAUGGCAAGUCGGUCGUGAAAUCCUUCGGCUCAACCGAAGAACGUCGAUCGAUACUGCUGUUCUAGAGGAUUGCAGAGGAGACUGGAAUUCCCGGUGUAGCGGUGAAAUGUGUAGAGAUCGGGAGGAACACCGGUGGCGAAGGCGGGUCUCUGGGGGCAACCUGACGCUGAGGCGCGAAAGCGUGGGGAGCGAACCGG